UACGUAGGGUCCGAGCGUUGUCCGGAAUUACUGGGCGUAAAGAGCUCGUAGGUGGUUUGUCGCGUUGUCCGUGAAAACUCACAGCUCAACUGUGGGCGUGCGGGCGAUACGGGCAGACUGGAGUACUGCAGGGGAGACUGGAAUUCCUGGUGUAGCGGUGGAAUGCGCAGAUAUCAGGAGGAACACCAGUGGCGAAGGCGCCGCUCUGGGCCGUGACUGACGCUGAGGAGCGAAAGCGUGGGUAGCAAACAGG
RNAcentral lists this ribosomal RNA (253 nucleotides) under uncultured bacterium. Its description in RNAcentral is "partial 16S ribosomal RNA". It matches the Rfam family "Bacterial small subunit ribosomal RNA", at positions 524 to 776 of the family's 1533-position model. The record is from RNAcentral.